UCUCUCAUAGCUCAACAGGCAGAGCGCACGGCUGUUAACCGUGAUGUCCUGGUUCGAACCCAGGUGAGAGAG
This 72-nucleotide transfer RNA is filed under the name Rothia amarae. It matches the Rfam family "tRNA". Rfam says of the family: Transfer RNA (tRNA) molecules are approximately 80 nucleotides in length. Their secondary structure includes four short double-helical elements and three loops (D, anti-codon, and T loops). Lineage: Bacteria; Bacillati; Actinomycetota; Actinomycetes; Micrococcales; Micrococcaceae. The record is from Rfam by way of RNAcentral.